UACACUAGCCCCUAGCAAGAGAGUCAACCUGUCCUUUGAAGCCAUGAAGCCAGGCAUUGACUUCGCACUUUAUGUUAUAGAGGUGACUUCCUUCCUCAGCCUCAUGAACCAACCUCUGCUACCUUCAGACUUUUCUUCUGAAGCUUCCUCACCUCUCUCAGCUUCACAGAAUUGAAGAGACUUAGGGCCUUGCCCUGGAUUAGGCUUUGGUUUAA
RNAcentral lists this long non-coding RNA (215 nucleotides) under Homo sapiens (human). RNAcentral describes it as "non-protein coding lnc-FAM50B-3:1". The record is from RNAcentral. Lineage: Eukaryota; Metazoa; Chordata; Mammalia; Primates; Hominidae.